CCUACGGGAGGCAGCAGUAGGGAAUCUUUCACAAUGGGCGAAAGCCUGAUGGAGCAACGCCGCGUGCAGGAUGAAGGCCUUCGGGUUGUAAACUGCUUUUAUAAGCGAGAAAUAUGAUGGUAACUUAUGAAUAAGGAUCGGCUAACUACGUGCCAGCAGCCGCGGUCAUACGUAGGAUCCGAGCAUUAUCCGGAGUGACUGGGUGUAAAGAGUUGCGUAGGUGGCAUAAUAAGUAGCUAGUGAAAUCUGGUGGCUCAACCAUUCAGACUAUUAGCUAAACUGUUAAGCUCGAGACCGUUAGGGGUAACUGGAAUUUCUAGUGUAGGAGUGAAAUGCGUAGAUAUUAGAAGGAACACCAAUAGCGUAGGCAGGUUACUGGGACGGUUCUGACACUAAGGCACGAAAGCGUAGGGAGCAAACGGGAUUAGAUACCCGGGUAGUC
Molecule: ribosomal RNA, 442 nt
Filed under: uncultured bacterium
Lineage: Bacteria
Description: partial 16S ribosomal RNA
Rfam family: Bacterial small subunit ribosomal RNA
Source: RNAcentral